AAAAAAAAAAUAAAAAAAAAUCGGUCUCAUCCUGGCCUGGGUCGUAUCCCUCUUCUCCCCUCACCACCUCCUCCCCUCACCAAACCCGUCGAAACCCUAAAUGGAACCCUAACCCUAACCUGAACCAAACCCGAUGCCACUCCACCGCACCUUCCCCUGCGUCGACCUCACACGAGCGCCCCCACCCUCAACUCCUUCUCUCCCUCACCCCCUCCUCUCUGAGCUCGAGCUCUCCCCCUCUCCUUCACCUCUACUCAUCCUCUCCUCCCUCAACCUCCGCGUUCUCUCCAAGCUGCGAACUCAUCCCCAAAUCGCCUUCGUUAUCGCCCCUGACCUUCUUGGCCCCGCGA
RNAcentral lists this long non-coding RNA (350 nucleotides) under Ananas comosus (pineapple). RNAcentral's name for it is "long non-coding RNA (ACOM_LNC038761)". Lineage: Eukaryota; Viridiplantae; Streptophyta; Magnoliopsida; Poales; Bromeliaceae. The record is from RNAcentral.